This 74-nucleotide transfer RNA is filed under the name Thermosediminibacter oceani DSM 16646. It matches the Rfam family "tRNA". Rfam says of the family: Transfer RNA (tRNA) molecules are approximately 80 nucleotides in length. Their secondary structure includes four short double-helical elements and three loops (D, anti-codon, and T loops). The record is from Rfam by way of RNAcentral. Lineage: Bacteria; Bacillati; Bacillota; Clostridia; Thermosediminibacterales; Thermosediminibacteraceae.
GGCCCAGUAGUUCAGUUGGUUAGAACGCCAGCCUGUCACGCUGGAGGCCGAGGGUUCAAGUCCCUUCUGGGUCG